This 400-nucleotide ribosomal RNA is filed under the name uncultured bacterium. RNAcentral describes it as "bacterial SSU rRNA". It matches the Rfam family "Bacterial small subunit ribosomal RNA", at positions 356 to 773 of the family's 1533-position model. The record is from RNAcentral.
GGGGAAUAUUGGACAAUGGGCGCAAGCCUGAUCCAGCCAUGCCGCGUGAGUGAUGACGGCCUUAGGGUUGUAAAGCUCUUUUACCUGGGAAGAUAAUGACGGUACCAGGAGAAUAAGCCCCGGCUAACUUCGUGCCAGCAGCCGCGGUAAUACGAAGGGGGCUAGCGUUGUUCGGAUUUACUGGGCGUAAAGCGCACGUAGGCGGAUCUUUAAGUCAGAGGUGAAAUCCCGGAGCUCAACUUCGGAACUGCCUUUGAUACUGGGGAUCUCGAGUUCGGGAGAGGUGAGUGGAACUGCGAGUGUAGAGGUGAAAUUCGUAGAUAUUCGCAAGAACACCAGUGGCGAAGGCGGCUCACUGGCCCGAUACUGACGCUGAGGUGCGAAAGCGUGGGGAGCAAAC